GAUGAACGCUGGCGGCGUGCCUAAUACAUGCAAGUCGAGCGAACAGACGAGGAGCUUGCUCCUCUGACGUUAGCGGCGGACGGGUGAGUAACACGUGGAUAACCUACCUAUAAGACUGGGAUAACUUCGGGAAACCGGAGCUAAUACCGGAUAAUAUAUUGAACCGCAUGGUUCAAUAGUGAAAGACGGUUUUGCUGUCACUUAUAGAUGGAUCCGCGCCGCAUUAGCUAGUUGGUAAGGUAACGGCUUACCAAGGCGACGAUGCGUAGCCGACCUGAGAGGGUGAUCGGCCACACUGGAACUGAGACACGGUCCAGACUCCUACGGGAGGCAGCAGUAGGGAAUCUUCCGCAAUGGGCGAAAGCCUGACGGAGCAACGCCGCGUGAGUGAUGAAGGUCUUCGGAUCGUAAAACUCUGUUAUUAGGGAAGAACAAAUGUGUAAGUAACUAUGCACGUCUUGACGGUACCAAAUCAGAAAGCCACGGCUAACUACGUG
RNAcentral lists this ribosomal RNA (497 nucleotides) under uncultured bacterium. RNAcentral describes it as "partial 16S ribosomal RNA". It matches the Rfam family "Bacterial small subunit ribosomal RNA", at positions 28 to 507 of the family's 1533-position model. The record is from RNAcentral.